CAGCAGCCACGGGAAUACGGAGGAUCCAAGCGUUAUCCGGAAUCAUUGGGUUUAAAGGGUCCGUAGGCGGUCUUGUAAGUCAGUGGUGAAAGCUUAUCGCUCAACGGUGGAACGGCCAUUGAUACUGCAGGACUUGAAUUAUUGGGAAGUAACUAGAAUAUGUAGUGUAGCGGUGAAAUGCUUAGAGAUUACAUGGAAUACCAAUUGCGAAGGCAGGUUACUACCAAUUGAUUGACGCUGAUGGACGAAAGCGUGGGUAGCGAACAGGAUUAGAUACCCCUGUAGUCCCUGUCUCUUAUAC
RNAcentral lists this ribosomal RNA (301 nucleotides) under uncultured bacterium. RNAcentral's name for it is "partial 16S ribosomal RNA". It matches the Rfam family "Bacterial small subunit ribosomal RNA", at positions 509 to 807 of the family's 1533-position model. The record is from RNAcentral.